AUUGAACGCUGGCGGUAACUUUUAAACAUGCAAGUCGGACGGUAACAUUGGUGCUUGCACCAGAUGACGAGUGGCGCAAGGGUGAGUAUCACGUGAAUAAUCUGCCCUCGAGAUCGGGAUAACAUGGUGAAAACUAUGCUAAUACCGGAUAAGACCACAUUUCAUAAGAAAUGCGGUAAAAGGAGUCUCAAUCUUCACUCGAGGAUGAGUUCGCGCAACAUUAGCUUGUUGGUGAGAUAAAAGCUCACCAAGGCUACGAUGUUUAGCCGGCCUGAGAGGGUGAACGGCCACACUGGAACUGAGACACGGUCCAGACUCCUACGGGAGGCAGCAGUGGGGAAUAUUGCGCAAUGGGCGAAAGCCUGACGCAGCAACGCCGUGUGAGCGAUG
Molecule: ribosomal RNA, 390 nt
Filed under: uncultured Nitrospina sp.
Lineage: Bacteria; Pseudomonadati; Nitrospinota; Nitrospinia; Nitrospinales; Nitrospinaceae
Description: bacterial SSU rRNA
Rfam family: Bacterial small subunit ribosomal RNA
Source: RNAcentral